ACACGCCCUUCCUAUGCGACGCGCUGGCUAUGCUUAAGACAAGAUGGCGACCGUGAGUUCCGCGUUGUGGCUCCGCAAAGCGCUGAGGCCGUCGCUGUGCGCGCGCCUGGGCCACGCGGCCAAAGCGGUGGGAGCAACAGCUGGAGGCCAGAGAGAGAGUUCAUCCUUUACAGGAAAAAUCAUUCCUCCCCCGGCCAAGUAUGGUGGUCAGCAUACGGUUACCCUGAUCCCUGGAGAUGGAAUUGGACCCGAGCUGCUGAAUCAUGUCCGCGAGGUCUUCAGGUUCAGCUGUGUGCCCGUGGACUUUGAGGUGGUCAAUGUGAACUCCUCGCGGGCUGAUGAGGAUGACAUCAACAAUGCCAUCACUGCAAUCCGCCGCAAUGGGGUCGCGCUCAAAGGGAACAUUGAGACCAACCACACCAUGCCGCCCUCAUUUAAGUCCAGGAACAACCUGAUGCGCACAAGUCUGGAUCUGUAUGCCAACAUGAUGCACUGCCAGUCCCUCCCUGGGGUGCAGACCCGCCACAAGAACAUUGACAUCAUCAUCAUCAGGGAGAACACAGAGGGCGAGUACAGCAGCCUGGAGCAUGAGAGUGUGUCAGGAGUGGUGGAGAGCCUGAAGAUAAUUACUCGGCUCAACUCCCUGCGUAUUGCCGAUUAUGCAUUCCGUCUGGCCAGGGAGAAAGGUCGCCGCAGGGUCACAGCUGUCCACAAGGCCAACAUCAUGAAGCUUGGUGACGGCUUGUUCCUUCAAUGCUGCAGGGAGGUGGCAUCCGGCUACCCUGAUAUCACCUUCGACAGCAUGAUUGUGGACAACACCACCAUGCAGCUUGUUUGUAAGCCCCAGCAGUUUGACGUGAUGGUGAUGCCCAACCUGUAUGGAAACGUGGUCAGCAAUGUGUGCGCGGGCCUGGUGGGGGGGCCAGGCCUGGUGCCGGGUGCCAACUACGGGCGGGACUACGCUAUGUUUGAAACGGCCACUAGGAACACGGGGAAAAGCAUUGCUAACAAGAACAUUGCUAACCCUACUGCUAUGCUGCUGGCCAGCUGUCUGUUGCUUGACCACCUCAAGCUGCACGAGUACGCUACUACAAUCCGAAAUGCUAUCCUCACCACGAUGAACGAGACCAGAGUACGACACAUGUUCUCAUCAGUACAAUUCAAUCACAUGUCUGCGCUGACUCUGCAGAGCUCCUCUGCUGCACACACCAGAUAUUGGGGGACAGGGCACCACCUCUGAAGUGGUUCAGUCCAUCAUGAACAUCAUCCAGAAGACCGGCCCCCGCACUGUGGCAUACUACUAAACGCAGCCUUGCGUGCUGGCGCGCGCACACACACAGAUGGGAACCAGUUCAGCUGCAGGAUGUCACCCCUCUUCUCCUGAGUCCAGCUAUUUGUGGAGUUGCGUGCUUUCAACUCUCUGUAUUUGGCAACAUCAUGCAGUGUUUGAUGCACCUUAACAGCAGUAAUCCUAAAAAUCUUGAGUGAAGUAUCUCCACUCUGUAUCUGCAUGCUUUCUGCUUUGUCUCCCCCCCCUGUUUUGUAGCAAGAAAACUUUUGCUGUAACAGAUGUGUUCCCAGCUGCUUGCUGCAGUUCUGGUUUCUCUUGCUUUUUGAGCACAGGUUUUUAUUGGUGCCCACUAGUAUAUAGAGCAGAGCCUCUCUCUUCGGGGGCUCUUUCACCCCUCUGAUGCGGAACAUAUCUAGACUGGCAAGGAAGAUGUAGCUGAACCAUAUUCUUUUACAUUGGUAAAAUGCCUAGAGUCCAAUAACUGUUGCUGGCCAAGCAGUGGAAAUGAGAUUCUUUGGGUUUGUGACCUUUCUUAUUCUCUUUUGUUGCAAACAGAACAGUUUCUGAAUUGCUGGUCAUGCACUGUAAAGCACAGAUCUGAGAUCCAUGGGUCCUGGGUUUAUGUGUAAUUUGUGCCUGUGGAUUUUUCACUUUAAAAACGAAAAAGGCCUACGGUUUGACAUUGUAUUCACAGCAUUACCUAUAAGAUCACCUGUUUCCCAGGUGCUGUUAUUUAGUGUUGUACUACACAAGCACCGCGUCUAACUGCGUAGUUCAGAUUGAGUCCUUGCUGACGGCAGCGAGGUUUUGCCACCUGAGUCGAACCCCCAGCGCUGUUCACCUGCCCAGAUUCCUGGCCCUCGCUGGUGUCCUGGUUUGCUGUCGCUGUCCAUAGGUGGGGAAACCAGUAUAUCCAGCCACAUAUUGGACAUUUGGUUAUUAGUUUUCACGCUGAAUUAAUGCAGCUGCUCAGUUUCAGGAGGUGAACGGCUCAUGUCUUGUGAAGAGCAGUGCUCCUUUCUUAUGCUACCCGACAGGUGAGGUAACGGGUUGAAAACUUUAAAUGGGUGUGAGGUUGGAAAACUGGUUCAAAGGUGGGCAAUUAGGACCCUGUGUUCUUAUGUAUGAUGGCAGCGCAAGUGGAUAAAUGAAACGGUUACUUAAAAUUUCUGCUGCUGCUUCAUGCUCUUGUUCAUGUGAAAAUAAAGUUACAAA
RNA transcript from Scleropages formosus (Asian bonytongue), 2506 nucleotides. It is a transcript of the gene named isocitrate dehydrogenase (NAD(+)) 3 non-catalytic subunit gamma, with no coding region annotated. The record is from RefSeq and is a predicted model, not a curated record. The transcript is spliced from 14 exons. Lineage: Eukaryota; Metazoa; Chordata; Actinopteri; Osteoglossiformes; Osteoglossidae.